GCACAUCAGUCCUUCUAGCUUGCUUAAUGCAACAUUUUUCUUUGCACAACUCACACUAUUCUUUCUAAAAUCCUGCUUUUUAUAGUCAUCUUCUUUUUCACAAAACUUGCUUUUAGUUCAACCUCUUGUUUCUUUUUUUCAGGCUUAUUCUCCAACAUUUAAAGCCCCAACUUCGGUUGCUCACUCCAUUUUCCUCCCUCGACUCAAUCACCUGGUUGCAGAUCGCGUCAAAUGAUAAUUGAGUGUUUCGAUUUCAAUUCUAGUGAUUCAAUCAUAAAUUUAUACAAAAUGAAAAUGACGUAAUUUCGUACAAGAACCAAAUGAUGCGUUUAAGUUAUCUGACAAUAAGUUGUGGCGCGGCGAGCCACAUUAGCACCACGUCUAUUUUUAAAAAAAUAGAAAUUGGGAGAAAAUAAUAAUGGUGGAAAAAUUGAAUAAAUGUGAAAGUUUUUUAUUAAAAAAAUAAAAUUUUCAAAAAUCAUGGGCAAAACUAUAUGGAUAUGGACUAAUAACAUAAAAUACAAUAUGAAUAUGGAUAGCCGAGUUAUUGAAGAAUUAAUUAGAAGAAUGUUAGUGGAGAAGUAAAAGUUUUUAAUGCAUUAUUAUCAGUAUUACAUAAAAAGGCUAUUUCUCUCUCUCAAAAAACAAAGAGGCUACCACGCAGCCCCAAACGCAACAAAUAGCCCUGCCAAAAAACCAGCUUGCUUGCAUUACAUAUUUACCAUGUAACGACGUUUCUUUUUGCCAGUUUCAAAUAAAAUCCAUUUUUUUCACCAUUAUGCAGCCACGAUAUUUCUACAAAAUCAUGACUACUCCCAUCGUAUUUCAGGCCAAAGCCAUGACUACAAACCUCAUAAUUUCGACUGCAUUUUUAGCUCUUGUUGUUUCCAUUUUGUUACUCUAUUUUGAUGCCAUCAGCAUUCAAGAUUCCAAUAUUCAUCAAGAAUUCAAGAAUGAUACCUCAUUGGUGCCCAACAAAAUUCAUGACGCCGUCGUUUUACCAAUGCCCGGCGGCGCCGUCGGGCCGGAGAGCUUCACCUUCGACAGCCGCGGCGGCGGCCCCUACACCGGCGUCUCCGACGGGAGGAUUAUCCGGUGGCAGGCGAAUGAAAGCCGGUGGGUGGACUUCGCCGUCACAUCGCCCAAGAGGUCACUUUUUCCUUUUAAUUUCUUUCUGUUCCUUUUUACGAUAUUUACAUUUAUAUUUUCAUCAUCUUUUUUUUCUUAAAUGAUAUUCUCAUCAUCAUUAACACUUCCUCUUAAUUUAUUUAUACAUAUAUGAAAUUAACCGAUAAUACUAGUAGAUUCUCGUGAAAAUUAUAUUUUCUUAAUAUUUUACUAAACAUAUAAAAUUAUUGUAUUCGUAGUAAAAUUAAUUAAAAAAAAUUAAACCUUAUAAUAUUCGAAUCUAAGUAAUGCAAUAACAGUAAAUUUUACAAUAUAAAAAUUAGAAAAAGAAAAAAAAUAUAUACCUUACGAUUUAAAUAAAGUUGUGAUUUGAACUCCGUCUCCAUCACAUAUAGGGAAACGUAAGUAAGAACCAAAACGGUUUAAGUUGGUUUCCCCUAUUUGGUGAGAUACCAUCUGCUCGCUUUGUUUUGUUUGUAUGAGCGAUAUUGCUUGCGUGUGAAAAAAUAUACUGCAUUCUGUUUCUCAAUUCUCACUGAAAAAAAUAAAAAAAUAUACUGCAUUCUGUUUCUCAAUUCUCACUGAAAAAAAUAAAAAAAUAUACUCCUGUAUUCUAUUCUGUUAUCUAUGAUGCAAACAUACAUAAAUUCUGUUACCUUACAAAAUUUUGCGGUUAAUCGUGAUAAUGAUUUAUGACGUUAUCAAGAUGUGUA
This 1841-nucleotide long non-coding RNA is filed under the name Salvia miltiorrhiza (redroot sage). RNAcentral describes it as "long non-coding RNA (SMIL_LNC011629)". The record is from RNAcentral. Lineage: Eukaryota; Viridiplantae; Streptophyta; Magnoliopsida; Lamiales; Lamiaceae.